AAAGUGGAGGCUAUUGUAACUGAAGAGAACUGGAAAGUUCCACCGUAGAAGGUAAUAGUCCUGUAAGUGAAACGAGAAGACCACGAGUUAUGAUCCAGAGUACCACGAGACACGUGAAACCUUGUGGGAAGCAGGGAGGACCACCUCCCAAGGCUAAAUACUACCUGAUGACCGAUAGUGAAGCAGUACCGUGAGGGAAAGGUGAAAAGAACCCCGGGAGGGGAGUGAAAUAGAACCUGAAACCGUGUGCCUACAACCGCUCAGAGCCCCUUAUGAGGGUGAUGAGGUGCUUUUUGUAGAACGAGCCAACGAGUUACGGUAUGUAGCAAGGUUAAGUACUUAAGGUACGGAGCCGAAGGGAAACCGAGUCUGAAUAGGGCGACUAGUUGCAUGCCGUAGACCCGAAACCGGGUGACCUAUCCAUGGCCAGGUUGAAGCGAGGGUAAAACCUCGUGGAGGACCGAACCACGUUGCUGUUGAAAAAGCAUGGGAUGAGCUGUGGAUAGCGGAGAAAUUCCAAUCGAACCCGGAGAUAGCUGGUUCUCUCCGAAAUAGCUUUAGGGCUAGCGUCGAGUAUGAGUAGUGGAGGUAGAGCACUGAAUGGGCUAGGGGGCAUAGCGCUUACCGAACCUUAUCAAACUCCGAAUGCCACAUACUUUGAGCUCGGCAGUCAGACUACGAAUGAUAAGAUCCGUGGUCAAAAGGGAAACAGCCCAGAUCGUCAGCUAAGGUCCCAAAGUGUAAGUUAAGUGGGAAAGGAUGUGAGAUUUCUAAGACAACUAGGAUGUUGGCUUAGAAGCAGCCAUUCAUUAAAAGAGUGCGUAAUAGCUCACUAGUCGAGAGAUCUUGCGCCGAAAAUGUAACGGGGCUAAACUUACCACCGAAGCUACGGGCUUGAACUUAGUUCAAGCGGUAGGAGAGCGUCGUAACCGGGCUGAAGUCGUACCGUAAGGAGCGGUGGACUGGUUACGAGUGAGAAUGUUGGCAUCAGUAGCGAGAUGUGGGUGAGAAUCCCACAGGCCGAAAACCUAAGGUUUCCUCAGGAAGGUUCGUCCGCUGAGGGUUAGUCGGGACCUAAGCCGAGGCCGAAAGGCGUAGGUGAUGGACAACUGGUUGAUAUUCCAGUACCACUACCAUCGUUAUUAUCGAUGGCGUGACGCAGGAGGAUAGUGUGUGCUAGCUAUUGGAUGCUAGUCUAAGCGUUUAGGCAGUGAGAGUAGGCAAAUCCGCUCUCAUAAUGCUGAGGCGUGAUGGGGAAGGUUCUACGGAACCGAAGUACAUGAUUCCACGCUGCCAAGAAAAGCGUCUAGAGAGAGAAGUAGUGCCCGUACCGCAAACCGACACAGGUAGGUGAGGAGAGAAUCCUAAGGCCGGCGGAAGAAUUACAGUUAAGGAACUCGGCAAAUUGACCCCGUAAGUUCGCGAGAAGGGGUGCCUACGAGAGUAGGCCGCAGAGAAUAGGCCCAAGCAACUGUUUAGCAAAAACACAGGUCUCUGCUAAAGCGUAAGCUGAUGUAUAGGGGCUGACGCCUGCCCGGUGCUGGAAGGUUAAGGGGAACACUUAGCGCAAGCGAAGGUGUGAACUUAAGCCCCAGUAAACGGCGGCCGUAACUAUAACGGUCCUAAGGUAGCGAAAUUCCUUGUCAGGUAAGUUCUGACCCGCACGAAUGGCGUAAUGACUUGGGCACUGUCUCAACUGUAAAUCCGGCGAAGUUGUAGUGCGAGUGAAGAUGCUCGCUACCCGCGAUUGGACGGAAAGACCCCGUAGAGCUUUACUGUAGCUUAGCAUUGAGUUUUGGUAUUGUCUGUACAGGAUAGGUGGGAGACUAGGAAACCAGGGCGUCAGCCUUGGUGGAGUCAACCUUGGGAUACCACCCUGACAGUACUGAAAUUCUAACUGGCGGCCAUGAAUCUGGUCACAGGACAUUGUUAGGUGGGCAGUUUGACUGGGGCGGUCGCCUCCUAAAAAGUAACGGAGGCGCCCAAAGGUUCCCUCAGAACGGUCGGAAAUCGUUCGAAGAGUGCAAAGGCAGAAGGGAGCCUGACUGCGACACCCACAAGUGGAGCAGGGACGAAAGUCGGGCUUAGUGAUCCGGUGGUACCUCGUGGGAGGGCCAUCGCUCAACGGAUAAAAGCUACCUCGGGGAUAACAGGCUGAUCUCCCCCAAGAGUCCACAUCGACGGGGAGGUUUGGCACCUCGAUGUCGGCUCGUCGCAUCCUGGGGCUGAAGUAGGUCCCAAGGGUUGGGCUGUUCGCCCAUUAAAGCGGCACGCGAGCUGGGUUCAGAACGUCGUGAGACAGUUCGGUCCCUAUCCGUCGCGGGCGUAGGAAAUUUGAGAGGAGCUGUCCUUAGUACGAGAGGACCGGGAUGGACUGACCUCUGGUGUACCAGUUGUUCCGCCAGGAGCACAGCUGGGUAGCUAAGUCGGGAAUGGAUAAACGCUGAAAGCAUCUAAGCGUGAAGCCAACCUCAAGAUGAGAUUUCCCAUAGCGUAAGCUAGUAAGAUCCCUUGAAGAACACAAGGUUGAUAGGUCGGGGGUGUAAGCAUGGUAACAUGUUCAGCUGACCGAUACUAAUAGAUCGAGGGCUUGACCAAAU
RNAcentral lists this ribosomal RNA (2600 nucleotides) under Clostridium perfringens. RNAcentral describes it as "partial 23S ribosomal RNA". It matches the Rfam family "Bacterial large subunit ribosomal RNA", at positions 313 to 2925 of the family's 2925-position model. Lineage: Bacteria; Bacillati; Bacillota; Clostridia; Eubacteriales; Clostridiaceae. The record is from RNAcentral.